RNAcentral lists this small nuclear RNA (164 nucleotides) under Aotus nancymaae (Ma's night monkey). Its description in RNAcentral is "U1 spliceosomal RNA (ENSANAG00000031388.1)". It matches the Rfam family "U1 spliceosomal RNA". From Rfam's summary of the family: U1 is a small nuclear RNA (snRNA) component of the spliceosome (involved in pre-mRNA splicing). Lineage: Eukaryota; Metazoa; Chordata; Mammalia; Primates; Aotidae. The record is from Rfam by way of RNAcentral.
GAAAGAACCUGGCAGGGGAAAUACCAUGAUCACAAAGGUGGUUUUCCCAGGGCGAGGCUUAUCCAUUGCACUCCGGAUGUGCUGACCCCUGUGAUUUCUCCAAAUGUGGGAAACUCGACUGCAUAAUUUGUGGCAGUGGGGGACUGCAUUCGUGCUUUCUCUUG